CAUACUUUUAUUUUAGGUUGAAAGUCUUAUUGAAUUUGAUGUAAGGCCUAUGGAACUUUGUUGACUUUAUUGAGAUAUUAAAGCUGAAAUUUGGAUUGUUAUAUUUUUUAUCUAAAUUAUUGACUAAUUGUUCCACUAUGAAGCAUUGAUAUCAUGAUAAGAUGUCUUGCAUGCUUAUGGAAAGAGUUUCCUAUGAGUAUGCAGUAAUUUCUAUGACCUUCGAUUCACAAUCUCGGAU
Molecule: long non-coding RNA, 238 nt
Filed under: Elaeis guineensis (African oil palm)
Lineage: Eukaryota; Viridiplantae; Streptophyta; Magnoliopsida; Arecales; Arecaceae
Description: long non-coding RNA (EGUI_LNC058360)
Source: RNAcentral